This 2424-nucleotide non-coding RNA is filed under the name Adenomera sp. D. RNAcentral's name for it is "partial large subunit ribosomal RNA". The stretch from base 1 to 939 matches the Rfam family "Bacterial small subunit ribosomal RNA". Lineage: Eukaryota; Metazoa; Chordata; Amphibia; Anura; Leptodactylidae. The record is from RNAcentral.
GUUUGGUCCUAGCCUUGAAAUCAAUUUUUACUUAAUUUACACAUGCAAGUAUCCGCACCCCUGUGAAAACGCCCUUAAAUCCCUGCUAGGGAUAAGGAGCUGGUAUCAGGCACAUCAUAUGCCCAAGACACCUAGCUAUGCCACACCCACAAGGGAUUUCAGCAGUGAUUAACAUUGAACAUCAGCGUCAGCUUGAUUCAGUUAAAGUAAACAGAGCCGGCUAAUCUGGUGCCAGCCGCCGCGGUUACACCACGUGGCUCAAAUUGACCCUUGCCGGCGUAAAGAGUGAUUUAAGACCCCCAUCCCCCUUUUUGGCGUCAAAUCUGCACUAAGCUGUGACACGCUUGUUCCCCAGAAGCACAGAAACGAAAGUUACCCCAACUUAAACAACUUGAACUCACGACAACCAAGAAACAAACUGGGAUUAGAUACCCCACUAUGCUUGGUAGUAAACCUUAAAUUACACCCAAAUCGCCAGGGAACUACGAGCAAAGCUUAAAACCCAAAGGACUUGACGGUACCCCAAAUCCACCUAGAGGAGCCUGUCCUAUAAUCGAUAACCCCCGCUUUACCUCACCACUUUUAGCUAAUCAGCCUGUAUACCUCCGUCGUCAGCUUACCCCGUGAGCGAAAUAUAGUGAGCUUAAUGCUUUUCCACCAAUACGUCAGGUCAAGGUGCAACUUAUGAAGUGGAAAGAGAUGGGCUACACUCCCUAACCUAGGAUACACGAAAAACUACUUAUGAAAUCUAGUUUGAAGGCGGAUUUAGAAGUAAAAAGAAAUUAGAAUGCUCUUUUUAACCCGGCACUGGGGUGUGUACACACCGCCCGUCACCCUCUUCAAAGUCUUAUUACAGUGCUUAACUCCCUAUGACAUAACAGAAGAGGCAAGUCGUAACAUGGUAAGUAUACCGGAAGGUGUGCUUGGAAACACAAUAUAGCUUAAUAUUAAAGCACUUCGCUUACACCGAAUAGAUCUCUGUGAAACCCAGAAUAUUGUGAGCCAAUCCUCUAGCCCCAAUUCCCUUUAUACAACUACAUAAUCUUACUCACCAACCAAAACAUUUUAACGAACUAGUAAAGGAGAUUAAAAAAUCAUUAGGAGCUACAAAAAUAGUACCGCAAGGGAAAGAUGAAAUAAAAAUGAAACAACUUUUAAGCAAAAAAUAGUAGAGAAUAACCCUCGUACCUUUUGCAUCAUGGUUUAACUAGUCUAAUCAAGCAAAAAGACCUUCAGUUUGACCCCCCGAAACUAAACGAGCUACUUUGAGGCAGCUUAAUGAGCUAACCCGUCUCUGUUGUAAAAGAGUGGGAAGACCUUUAAGUAGAGGUGACAGACCUACCGAGUUUAGUGAUAGCUGGUUGCUUAAGAAAAGGACCUUAGUCCGUACUAAAUUGACUUUUGUAUAAAAAAAUCUCCCCAUUAAUUUAGGCCCACUCAAGUAAGGUACAGCCUGCUUGAAAAAGGACACAACCUUCUCAUAUGGGUAAUAAAUGCAACUUUACCACCAAGUAGGCCUAAAAGCAGCCACCUUUGUUAAAAGCGUCACAGCUUAAUCGUUAACUAAGCCUAAUCACAUUCACCGCAUAAAACCCUACACUACCAUUAAGCAAUUCCAUAUCAAUAUGGAAAAUUUUAUGUUAAAACUAGUAACAAGAAGCCACACUUCUCUUUAAUGCAAGCUCAUAUCAGACUGGACUAACCACUGAUAAAUAACACCCAUAACUCUAUAAUAGUAACUAAUCAAGAAAAUCCUACUCCAUUUAAUGUUAACCUAACACAAGAGCAUUACAAGAAAGAUUAAAAGAAAAAGAAGGAACUCGGCAAACAUUGACCCCGCCUGUUUACCAAAAACAUCGCCUCUUGCUCUAAAUAAGAGGUCCAGCCUGCCCAGUGACACUGUUCAACGGCCGCGGUAUCCUAACCGUGCGAAGGUAGCGUAAUCACUUGUUCUUUAAAUGAGGACUAGUAUGAAAGGCACCACGAGAGUCAUACUGUCUCCUUUUUUCAAUCAGUUAAACUAAUCUCCCCGUGAAGAAGCGAGGAUAAUCAUAUAAGACGAGAAGACCCUAUGGAGCUUUAAACGAAUAACAUUUGCCUACCACUCUAUUUAAUUUCAGAAAAAUCCUUUACUUUGGCAUUAUACUUUAUAAGUUUUUGAUUGGGGUGAUCACGGAAUAAAAAAUAACCUCCGCAAUGAAAGACACUCCCCCUCUAAGUCAAGAGCUACAACUCUACACAUCAACAAAUUGACACUAAUUGACCCAAUAUAUUGAUCAAUGAACUAAGUUACCCUAGGGAUAACAGCGCAAUCCAUUUCAAGAGCUCCUAUCGACAAAUGGGUUUACGACCUCGAUGUUGGAUCAGGGUAUCCUAAUGGUGUAGCCGCUAUUAAAGGUUCGUUUGUUCAACGAUUAAAACCCU